This 434-nucleotide long non-coding RNA is filed under the name Bos taurus (domestic cattle). Its description in RNAcentral is "long non-coding RNA NONBTAT023004". Lineage: Eukaryota; Metazoa; Chordata; Mammalia; Artiodactyla; Bovidae. The record is from RNAcentral.
CCCCUUGCAGAGAAGGGGCAGUAACAAAAUUCCAAGUUGAUUGAGGCUCCACUACCUAUGAGAUCAUGGAAAUGAUUUUUUCAAGGGACCCAGCAUUUGUUCUGCAAAAGCUAAGAUAAUAAAAUAUAAAAAGUAGAUAUUGAAAUGAAAACUGCAACAAAGGAAAUGUGGCUUUAAAAAUGAAACCCAGCAAUAUAAUGCAAGUUCUCCUCCUGAAACAUCUUUGUCAUCCAUCCUUGUCUUUCUGCCCUAGCCGGAUGACUCUCACCAUCUCUCACAAAAACCCUAUCAUAGCCUCUCCAGGGCCGCCUCCUCCACCCAUUCACCACAUCAGCACUGGUUACAACAGGCAGUAAGGGAGAAUCGGUUAUGGGACAGCUAGUGGUCUAAUUCUAUCUGAGUAGAAUGGUAUAUAUGGCUAUAUAUAUGGUAUA